Molecule: ribosomal RNA, 293 nt
Filed under: uncultured bacterium
Lineage: Bacteria
Description: partial 16S ribosomal RNA
Rfam family: Bacterial small subunit ribosomal RNA
Source: RNAcentral
GGAUUAGAUACCCUGGUAGUCCACGCAGUAAACGAUGAGUGCUAUGAGUUUGUGCUGUAGAGCAUGGGUUCAGAAGUUAACACGGUAAGCACUCCGCCUGGGUAGUACGAUCGCAAGAUUAAAACUCAAAGGAAUUGACGGGGACCCGCACAAGCGGUGGAGCAUGCGGUUUAAUUCGAUGCUACGCGAAGAACCUUACCAGUUUUUGAAUGGUGACAGAGGCUGUAGGAGACUAUGGUUGCAUUAAGUUGGGUCACACACAGGUGUUGCAUGGCUGUCGUCAGCUCGUGCCG